CCUACGGGAGGCAGCAGUGAGGAAUAUUGGUCAAUGGACGAGAGUCUGAACCAGCCAAGUAGCGUGAAGGAUGACUGCCCUAUGGGUUGUAAACUUCUUUUAUAUGGGAAUAAAAUGUUUCACGUGUGGGAUUUUGUAUGUACCAUAUGAAUAAGGAUCGGCUAACUCCGUGCCAGCAGCCGCGGUAAUACGGAGGAUCCGAGCGUUAUCCGGAUUUAUUGGGUUUAAAGGGAGCGUAGGUGGAUUGUUAAGUCAGUUGUGAAAUUUUGCGGCUCAACCGUAAAAUUGCAGUUGAAACUGGCAGUCUUGAGUACAGUAGAGGUGGGCGGAAUUCGUGGUGUAGCGGUGAAAUGCUUAGAUAUCACGAAGAACUCCGAUUGCGAAGGCAGCUCACUGGACUGCAACUGACACUGAGGCUCGAAAGUGUGGGUAUCAAACAGGAUUAGAUACCCCGGUAGUC
This 460-nucleotide ribosomal RNA is filed under the name uncultured bacterium. RNAcentral's name for it is "partial 16S ribosomal RNA". It matches the Rfam family "Bacterial small subunit ribosomal RNA", at positions 338 to 795 of the family's 1533-position model. The record is from RNAcentral.